UCGUAGGAAUCUACCUUGUAGUGGGGGAUAACCUGGGGAAACUCGGGCUAAUACCGCAUAAUCUCUUUGGAGCAAAGCGGGGGAUCUUCGGACCUCGUGCUAUAAGAUGAGCCUACGUCGGAUUAGCUUGUUGGUGGGGUAAUGGCCUACCAAGGCGACGAUCCGUAGCUGGUCUGAGAGGACGAUCAGCCACACUGGGACUGAGACACGGCCCAGACUCCUACGGGAGGCAGCAGUGGGGAAUAUUGGACAAUGGGGGAAACCCUGAUCCAGCAAUGCCGCGUGUGUGAAGAAGGCCUUCGGGUUGUAAAGCACUUUCGGUGGGGAAGAAAUUCUCAAGGGUAAUAUCCUUGGGCGUUGACGUUACCCACAGAAGAAGCACUGGCUAACUCUGUGCCAGCAGCCGCGGUAAUACAGAGAGUGCAAGCGUUAAUCGGAAUCACUGGGCGUAAAGCGCGCGUAGGUGGAUAUUUAAGUCGGAUGUGAAAGCCCUGGGCUUAACCUGGGAAUUGCACCCGAUACUGGGUAUCUUGAGUAUGGUAGAGGGAAGUGGAAUUUCCGGUGUAGCGGUGAAAUGCGUAGAUAUCGGAAAGAACACCAGUGGCGAAGGCGACUUCCUGGACCAAUACUGACACUGAGGCGCGAAAGCGUGGGGAGCAAACAGGAUUAGAGACCC
Molecule: ribosomal RNA, 676 nt
Filed under: Coxiella burnetii
Lineage: Bacteria; Pseudomonadati; Pseudomonadota; Gammaproteobacteria; Legionellales; Coxiellaceae
Description: bacterial SSU rRNA
Rfam family: Bacterial small subunit ribosomal RNA
Source: RNAcentral